This 60-nucleotide ribosomal RNA is filed under the name Trichoderma atroviride. Its description in RNAcentral is "partial 28S ribosomal RNA". Lineage: Eukaryota; Fungi; Ascomycota; Sordariomycetes; Hypocreales; Hypocreaceae. The record is from RNAcentral.
UGACCUCGGAUCAGGUAGGAAUACCCGCUGAACUUAAGCAUAUCAAUAACCCGGAGGAAA